UUGAAAGGGAAACGAUUGAAGUCAGUCGUGCUGGCGCGAAAUCAACCAUCUCGUCUUGGGGUCACAUGGCGCGACGAGCCUCAAAACCGUCACGAAGCGUGAACUCUUGAUGAAAAGGAGCACUUUCGUGUCCGCUGGUUAACAUCAAUUUCGAACGUCAUAAAAAGGCUGGAGGGAUGUGGCUCCUUCGGGAGUGUUAUAACCUUUAGCGGAAUGUGGUGGUCGGGAUUGAGGAUUGCAACGAAUACCUUCAGGGCUGUUCCACCUGGCUUCUCAUUGGUAUCCUGGUGACGACAGCUUGCUGACUUCGUUAGGAUUCGCCUCUGAACAGGCUAGAGUGUGAGCAAAUUCGUUAAGGAUGUUGACGUA
Molecule: ribosomal RNA, 369 nt
Filed under: Entrophospora etunicata
Lineage: Eukaryota; Fungi; Glomeromycota; Glomeromycetes; Entrophosporales; Entrophosporaceae
Description: eukaryotic LSU rRNA
Source: RNAcentral